This 250-nucleotide ribosomal RNA is filed under the name uncultured bacterium. Its description in RNAcentral is "partial 16S ribosomal RNA". It matches the Rfam family "Bacterial small subunit ribosomal RNA", at positions 524 to 773 of the family's 1533-position model. The record is from RNAcentral.
UACGUAGGGGGCAAGCGUUGUCCGGAAUUAUUGGGCGUAAAGCGCUCGCAGGCGGUCUUUUAAGUCUGAUGUGAAAGCCCACGGCUCAACCGUGGAGGGUCAUUGGAAACUGGAGGACUUGAGUACAGAAGAGGAGAGUGGAAUUCCACGUGUAGCGGUGAAAUGCGUAGAGAUGUGGAGGAACACCAGUGGCGAAGGCGACUCUCUGGUCUGUAACUGACGCUGAGGAGCGAAAGCGUGGGGAGCGAAC